This 376-nucleotide ribosomal RNA is filed under the name uncultured bacterium. RNAcentral's name for it is "bacterial SSU rRNA". It matches the Rfam family "Bacterial small subunit ribosomal RNA", at positions 29 to 391 of the family's 1533-position model. The record is from RNAcentral.
AACGAACGUUAGCGGCGCGCUUAACACAUGCAAGUCGCACGAGAAAGGGCUUCGGUCCCGGUACAGUGGCGCACGGGUGAGUAACACGUGGGUAAUCUUCCCUUUGGCGGGGGAUAACCUUCCGAAGGAGGGCUAAUACCGCAUAAGACCACGACUCCGAAAGGAGACGAGGUUAAAGCAGGCCUCUAUACAUAAGCUUGCUCCAAAGGAUGAGCCCGCGGCCCAUCAGGUAGUUGGUAGGGUAACGGCCUACCAAGCCUAAGACGGGUAGCUGGUCUGAGAGGAUGAUCAGCCACACUGGAACUGAGACACGGUCCAGACUCCUACGGGAGGCAGCAGUGGGGAAUCUUGCGCAAUGGACGAAAGUCUGACGCGA